This 89-nucleotide transfer RNA is filed under the name Bacillota bacterium. RNAcentral's name for it is "tRNA-Ser". It matches the Rfam family "tRNA". From Rfam's summary of the family: Transfer RNA (tRNA) molecules are approximately 80 nucleotides in length. Their secondary structure includes four short double-helical elements and three loops (D, anti-codon, and T loops). The record is from RNAcentral. Lineage: Bacteria; Bacillati; Bacillota.
GGCGUUGUACUCAAGAGGCUUAAGAGAUCGGUUCUGAAAACCGGGAGGCAGGAAACUGCGCGUGGGUUCAAAUCCUACCAACGCCGCCA